RNAcentral lists this long non-coding RNA (594 nucleotides) under Heterocephalus glaber (naked mole-rat). Its description in RNAcentral is "lncRNA (ENSHGLG00000047343.1)". The record is from RNAcentral. Lineage: Eukaryota; Metazoa; Chordata; Mammalia; Rodentia; Bathyergidae.
GCACGCUCGGGCCACAGCCGCCACGGCCCCUGGAGCCCACGGGCGGCGGCACGCAGCGCUGCCCGACCCAGCCUCGGGACGCGACGUCCCCGGGGGCCCGCGGGGUCCGCAGCAGCCGGGGACCGCGCUGGCCGCGUAGCAAGGCCCGUCAGGGACAGGGGCUGAGGAACAGUAGGGCGGCCCGAGUGACCGCUUCGUGACCCGUGUGAGCCCCGAUGCCCCGGAAGGCCUUCACCUACCGAAAUCCACACACCGGACCUCUGGGAGCCUGGAGAGGUUGCUCCUGCUUGUCCCAGCCAGCAGGCUGUGUCUGCCCCGAGGGUGACUUAAAUAGGAUGAGGAGAGGAGGAAGGAGAAUGAGCCCACUUCUGUCUCUAAAAGUUAAUGAGGUUAGGAUGUUCACAGUGAAAGCUUUCUUUUCUUCAUACCCUUUAAAAAAAUUGAAUCAUGUUUCCUGGAAGUUAAUCUAAUUAGCAGUGCUCUGCACACGCUCCUAUUAAACAAAACAACACAAUCACACAAUGUGGUGUCAGGGGACGCAACAAUUCACAGUGUUCUCUCGGGCUUUUCCAAGUCGUACCUUAUCCAUGAUGC